GUGGGCGUUCUCACUCUGUCACCCAGGCUGGAGUGCGGUGGUGCGAUCUCGGCUCACUGCAACCUCUGUUGCCUUUCAGGUUCAAGCGAUUCUCCUGCCUCAGCCUCCUGAGUAGCUGGGAUUACAGGUGCCUGCCACCACGCCCGGAUAAUUUUUGUAUUUUUAGUGGAGAUGGGGUUUCGCCAUGUUGGCCAGACUGGUCUCAAACUCCUAACCUCAGUCCUUGUUCUUUCAGUCUCAUUGACGCUGCCCGGAGUACCCUCCCCCAACCCACCUUCUGGUUUCCCUGGAAAUUGUUAUCCAUCCCUUCCAGGCCUAGCUCAAGCAGCAUCUCCUCUGCACUGGCCUCCAAGCUGCCCCCAACACCACAGCCAGACAGAGUCUCGUUCUAUCACCCAGGCUGCAGUGUGAUGGCACCAUCUUGGCUCACUGCAAUCUCCACCUCCCAGGUUCAAGGAUUCUCCUGCCUCAGCAUCCAAGUAGCUGGGAUUACAGGUGCAUGCCACUAUGCCCAGCUAAUUUUUGUAUUUUUAGUAGAGACAGGGUUUCUCUAUGUUGACCAGGCUGGUCUUGAACUCCUGACCUCAGGUGAGGUCCUUGAACUCCUGACCUCACCCGCCUCAGCUUCCCAAAGUGCUGGGAUUACAGGCAUGAGCCACUGCGCCCGGCCUGGACACUCACUUUUCAUAACAGCUCAGGAGUCUUGUAAACCUCAUGAAGAGUGGGAUCUUGACACUGUCAAUGCUCUGGGAAACAAAGUCUCCAGCACCUGAGUUUGGGAGAAACCAGACGUGGAGACGAUCUGUUUCACAUGAACACAUGCCAAGCCAGACUGAGCCUCUGCGGAGGCAGCAAGCACUGAGGUGGAUUCAUCUCUGUAUCCUGAGCACAUGGCUGGUACUUGGUGAUUACUGUAUUGAGAGAAUGAAUGAAAAUCACAGUCUAGUGAGGAAAACAGACACAUAAACAAUUAUAAGACACCCUAAGUGCUGUGACAAGGGACUACAGGAAUCACAGAGUGAACAGAAGAGGAAAAGGGCCCAGCGACACUGGGGAUCUCCUGCAGCGACACCAGGACUAGCACACUGGUCUCUUUGCUGCCCAGAGCACCAUUGGAGGAGAUGCCCCUGGGGAUGCCUGCCCAGCCCAUAGGCUCUCCCUCGGCACCACGGGACUGGUCCCUGGCGGCCCCUCAGCCAUGGGCUGUGGGUUCAUGACCCAAAUUGGGCAAUGAGUUCCCUGUCCCACAAUCUUGCUGUUGGGAUUCAGAGAAGCCAGUGUGCUUCCUCUGGUUACUUGACCUGAGACCUGAGAGCCAGCCAUGUUUGGCCAUGAGAGAACUGGGGGAAGUCGCGCGCUAAGAGGUAUAAGAGUGAAGCAGACGUGCAGAAAGAGGGUGGAUAGGAGACAGUGAGGCCCAGAGAAGGAGAGGAGCUUCCGGGCUUCUCAUUCUUCAGAUCCUGGUUCUCAGGCCUCUUGAGGUCUGGCUGCCCCUGCCCUCGGGUUCCAUGUGCCAUCUCUGAAGAUGUGAUUAAAAGCUCUCAGCUG
This is a long non-coding RNA of Pongo pygmaeus (Bornean orangutan), 1548 nucleotides long. RefSeq lists it as uncharacterized. The record is from RefSeq and is a predicted model, not a curated record. The transcript is spliced from 3 exons. NCBI's taxonomy places the organism in Eukaryota, Metazoa, Chordata, Mammalia, Primates, Hominidae.